This 1911-nucleotide long non-coding RNA is filed under the name Daucus carota (carrot). Its description in RNAcentral is "long non-coding RNA (DCAR_LNC002661)". The record is from RNAcentral. Lineage: Eukaryota; Viridiplantae; Streptophyta; Magnoliopsida; Apiales; Apiaceae.
UUUUAAGUCCCCCGAGCCUUUCUUUAACUUCCCCAGCGAACGGGCCUUCAAACGGAUCAAAAACGGUCAAAACGGGCCAAAAAUCCCGCCCAGAUUGUGAGGCCGGAGCCCCAGGUGUGAGGCGGGCGCCUCACACUGGCGCCCCCGCCUUACGGCUCAGGCGGGAGCCUCAGCCCAUCAGCCCGCGCAGCCAACGCUUCUUUGCCCAUAACUCUCUCGUCGUGCAUUCGAUUGCUUCGCAGUUUUUUUCAAUGAAAGCUAUGGAUCUCCUCUUCGUUCUCCUCCUGAGACACCUACAUAACACAACACUAAAACAUAUCAAAAACAUCAAAAGCUUGAGGCCAUUUCAUCGUUUUAAGUCAAAACGAAGGCUUCCAAGUGGAUAUAACAUCCACUUAUCACACCCCCCAAACUUAAAGCGAUGCGUGUCCUCAAGCAUAGACACACACAAAAAUACUACUAAUGAAAUGCAUGAAUGCAACUAAAUGCCUACAUCUAAUCGAAUCAUGAAGUGUAAUUUUUGUUAACAUAGCAUCCUCAGAAUAUGCAACAUUCGCGGUAUUCAUCUCUUUCACAUAUUAGCCAUGUUCUCUUCCACUCCAAGUGUGAAGUGCAUCGUGUGUGCUAGCAUGCUCUCUAGCGAAACAAAACAAAGACCAUCAAACUUCAACAGAGUCCUCACUAUGAGCCGUUAAUCAGAAUCAGGUUUAAACACUUCUUUACUAAAGUGUCAACUAUAAUUUAGGGUCACUAAAGAAAUCCUACGCCUCGCCUAUUUUUUUCUUUUUUUUCUUUCUAAGUCUAAGGUUAGGACGCUUCUCAGUGUAANCAAAAGCUUGAGGCCAUUUCAUCGUUUUAAGUCAAAACGAAGGCUUCCAAGUGGAUAUAACAUCCACUUAUCACACCCCCCAAACUUAAAGCGAUGCGUGUCCUCAAGCAUAGACACACACAAAAAUACUACUAAUGAAAUGCAUGAAUGCAACUAAAUGCCUACAUCUAAUCGAAUCAUGAAGUGUAAUUUUUGUUAACAUAGCAUCCUCAGAAUAUGCAACAUUCGCGGUAUUCAUCUCUUUCACAUAUUAGCCAUGUUCUCUUCCACUCCAAGUGUGAAGUGCAUCGUGUGUGCUAGCAUGCUCUCUAGCGAAACAAAACAAAGACCAUCAAACUUCAACAGAGUCCUCACUAUGAGCCGUUAAUCAGAAUCAGGUUUAAACACUUCUUUACUAAAGUGUCAACUAUAAUUUAGGGUCACUAAAGAAAUCCUACGCCUCGCCUAUUUUUUUCUUUUUUUUCUUUCUAAGUCUAAGGUUAGGACGCUUCUCAGUGUAAGUGAGUCACGACCGCACUUCGACCUCGCUUAUUCCUUUUUUUUUUUAAUCAAGUAAUUCUCCAGUAAUCAAGGGUUGUGAAAAGUCACCAAGAAUUUGCUUAUUCUAAUACAUUUGCACUUAAUACCAGCACAAGUACAUGGAUCGUCCCUUUCACAUGCCAUUGCAUUCUACCCAUUGAUCUCAAAACAGUACCUGAUAAUUUUUAUUCUCUUUUUUUUCUUUUUUUUAGAAAGGCAUAUUCAUCCCUUAACUCCCCCAAACUUAAGAUUUACAAACUCCUAGUUCAAAAAGGGAAUAAUCUAAACUCUACGCCCGACUCAACGCAAGGACUCAAGAGAUAAGUUAGCCUAAGUCUUAUCUCUAGAGCAUAAGUGUAAUUACAAUUUCCACAAAAGCAGUUUCCAAUUAACAAGGCAUCACAUAUGAUAAAGACUACUAGCCAAGAAAUUAUGCACCUAAACUCAUCAUAGAAAAUUAACUUGGAAAAGAACUUCAAGAUUCAUACAAAUGCAACUAUAUGAAAACUAUUAACACAUACUAAACACAAGCAUAUAUAUAAAAAAACACGUAUGAAACACAC